Molecule: ribosomal RNA, 285 nt
Filed under: Escherichia coli
Lineage: Bacteria; Pseudomonadati; Pseudomonadota; Gammaproteobacteria; Enterobacterales; Enterobacteriaceae
Also listed under: 1 other name
Description: partial 16S ribosomal RNA
Rfam family: Bacterial small subunit ribosomal RNA
Source: RNAcentral
GCGACCUCGCGAGAGCAAGCGGACCUCAUAAAGUGCGUCGUAGUCCGGAUUGGAGUCUGCAACUCGACUCCAUGAAGUCGGAAUCGCUAGUAAUCGUGGAUCAGAAUGCCACGGUGAAUACGUUCCCGGGCCUUGUACACACCGCCCGUCACACCAUGGGAGUGGGUUGCAAAAGAAGUAGGUAGCUUAACCUUCGGGAGGGCGCUUACCACUUUGUGAUUCAUGACUGGGGUGAAGUCGUAACAAGGUAACCGUAGGGGAACCUGCGGUUGGAUCACCUCCUUA